UGGGGAAUCUUGCGCAAUGGGCGAAAGCCUGACGCAGCCAUGCCGCGUGAAUGAUGAAGGUCUUAGGAUUGUAAAAUUCUUUCACCGGGGACGAUAAUGACGGUACCCGGAGAAGAAGCCCCGGCUAACUUCGUGCCAGCAGCCGCGGUAAUACGAAGGGGGCUAGCGUUGCUCGGAAUUACUGGGCGUAAAGGGCGCGUAGGCGGAUCGUUAAGUCAGAGGUGAAAUCCCAGGGCUCAACCCUGGAACUGCCUUUGAUACUGGCGAUCUUGAGUAUGAGAGAGGUAUGUGGAACUCCGAGUGUAGAAGUGAAAUUCGUAGAUAUUCGGAAGAACACCAGUGGCGAAGGCGACAUACUGGCUCAUUACUGACGCUGAGGCGCGAAAGCGUGGGGAGCAAACAGG
This 404-nucleotide ribosomal RNA is filed under the name Actinomycetes bacterium. RNAcentral describes it as "Actinobacteria bacterium partial 16S ribosomal RNA". It matches the Rfam family "Bacterial small subunit ribosomal RNA", at positions 355 to 776 of the family's 1533-position model. Lineage: Bacteria; Bacillati; Actinomycetota; Actinomycetes. The record is from RNAcentral.